Long non-coding RNA from Bos taurus (domestic cattle), 936 nucleotides. NCBI's taxonomy places the organism in Eukaryota, Metazoa, Chordata, Mammalia, Artiodactyla, Bovidae. The record is from Ensembl.
CACACUGAUUUUCCCUCUUAUCCCUAAUGCAGGUUGUAGGACCCUCUUGAGAGAGAUACCCUCCCGACACCUAGCACACAGAAGUGCCCUCAUCUCCAAAGGGAGAGGGAACCAAACAAACAGCCCUUGAUGAUUUCCCCCCAGUUUGCUAGCCUAGCUUCAACCUUUUGUUCUAUCAUGCUUUUCCCCUUUCUACUCUUCAUUAAACCUUCUAUAAGAACGCUCAGGCUUAACCUUUUUUCCAGGUCUUCAUUUUCUUGCAAAAGCACAUAUGUCCCUUAAAACUCCUAUUAAAUUAAUUUGUAUGCUUUUCUCCUGUCAACCAGUUUUUGUCAGUUUAAUUUUCAGACCCAGCCAGGGGUCAAGGGAAAAUUUUCCUUCCCCUAAAAUAUUAAAAAGGAACUCUAAUUGUAAUUUUUGAAGAAUUCUUCACUGCAAAGCCAUUUAGAUUGGAGUAUUUCUCCAAGCAAAGAACACUUUCUUCUGACCCAUGAAAGAGAAAAAGAAUGGAAAGACAGCUCAUGUUUUCCCUUGGAUUCAGAUUCAACAAACAUUUAUUAAGCAUUUAUCAUGUAUCAUGUACUGAGCUCCAUGCUGCGGAUUUCGGGAAAUCUUGACCUUACAAUCAGAGGAAAUCUGAAGACAUAUCUUGAAUUAGCUGUUGUGACUCAAAAUCAUGAGUCCUUCUAAAUGUCUGGAUUAUUACCCUGGUCCCGAGAUCUUCUUUCUCUUCAUGGUCUUUAUCAUCAACUGUGCUCUUCUUGGAUAAUUUCAUAUUUUCCUCCCCCCCAAAAAAACUUAAAUGCAAAGUACAUCAUUUGAAAUGCUGGGCUGGAUGAUUCACAAGCUGGAAUCAAGAUUGCCAGGAGAAAUAUCAACAAGCUCAGAUAUGCAGAUGAUACCACUCUAACGGCAGAAAGAGAAGAGAAACCGAAG